Tyto alba (common barn owl) is the source of this 2669-nucleotide long non-coding RNA. RefSeq lists it as uncharacterized. The transcript has 3 exons. NCBI's taxonomy places the organism in Eukaryota, Metazoa, Chordata, Aves, Strigiformes, Tytonidae. The record is from RefSeq and is a predicted model, not a curated record.
CGACCCCCCCCCUUUUUUUUUUUUUUUUUUUUCUUCCUUCUUUUGCUUGUAUUUAGAAAGCUGCCAAAAGCAAUAGUUAUGGUUUACCACAGAUUAAGGACUUUGUUUUGUUUUGAACAAAUGGUGAUCGGAGGUCUAAACCACCCAUGGUACAUCAAAGAAUUAAUUUUCAUUCUUUCUCUGCGUUGUCCUGCCCAGUACGUUCCUGACAAAGCUGCAAGUGAAGAUGCAGUUGAAUAUAGCUCCAGGUUCACGAAGGGCUCGUCAGCGUGAUUAAGCAGUUGAAGAAUAUGAAGUAUGCUCCAAGCCUGCUCUGGAGCAUGAAGCACAGUGUUCUAUGUGGAGCUGAUCAACAGAUUUGCUUCAAAAGCACACUCGCAGUCUGAAGAAACCUUGAAGAGAAGGGAUAAGGCUUGACUUGUUCAAAGGAACAUUGCUAAGCCCGUCCAGCAUCCAUUCAUGAUUCGAAUGUCCAUGGCUUAAGAAUCCAGACGUUUGAGCUCAGUCUCUUCCUUAUUGAAUAUGGUUUUACUUGCUAGCUCUUUCUUUUCAGUAUCUAUCACAUCAUGUUGAAUACUCAGGACAAAGUAGAGGGAUUUUUUUCAACCUACAAAGACUGUGUAUUUCUUUCCUCAUUCUUAAAGCCACUACAGUGCGAGGGAAGACAUCUCGGCUCUCAAAGUUUUCAUCAAUUCUGAGCAAAGCCUAAUUGACUAGUGACUCUUCCCCCCAACAAAUUUGCUUCACUGUGGUGUACUUUAGAUACUGAAAUUUUAGAAAACAGUUCUGUAUAAUAGUGUGCUUGUUUUUUGUUCCUUUGGGUUUUUCUUUUGAAACAUGCUUAAGCUUAUAAGGGCAAUUUAUAAACUGUCCUUCCUGUAGAAGUACCCUAGGUCUUUUCAUAGUCAUGCAUCGUUGCAGAUACUAAAGGUUUAAGUCAAAUUGUGUCUUAUGUAUUGCUUGUGACAUAUGCUUUCUGGUACUUAGCCAACAUUGUGAUUUUCACUGGGUUAGGGGAAUUCUAAGUGACAGAAAUUUAAUAAAAAAAUUUUACUAGUGAUUCUUAAGAAGAGAAUGCAUCAUACACUUGUUCUCAGACUGGAAAUAUUUUAUACCAGAAACAAAAUAAACAAAUACAGCGGGGUUUUUGAUGAUUUUUUUUUUUUUAAUUAAAAUCGGAAGUUAGUAUUCAAAAUACAUUAGGAACACAUCUGUUCAGAUAAAAGAUGCACAUUUAUUUUCCCACUUUGGAACAGGAACUUUGCAGCUGCAGUAGUUCUUGUUUCCUUAUCCAAGCACACCAUAAAAUUUUGUAUGCAUGAUUGAGAAAUAGUGAUGUUUUUUACCCUGAACUGAAAAAGCAUAAGUCUGACUAUGGAAAAUGGGGCAGGGAGAAUUAAAAAGUAGCCUAUUCUUAAAGCUUUAGAGGUUAUCUUAAAGUACACCUUCAUGCUUAAGAUUUGAAAUAUGAGGACUUUUAAGGGCCAAGAAUACCUAGCAAAACAUGAAAUACCAUCUUUUCACAGAUACAUAUUUAUUCCUAUGAUGAUUGUGAGAGAACUGACUCUAAAGAAGGUAUUGUUUUAUGGCUAAAUAGUAUCCAUAUGUUUGUUAUACCAAAGACCAAAUACCUCGAUGGUUUUCUUCUUUUUGUUUUCAGGAAAUGUUAUCUAGGCACUGGUCAGAGGACUGGUGGUUGAAAGUGGUGAAUACAUAUUUUUAGACAGAAUGCAAAAUGGAGUGAAAGAAGCAGCAUGCUCAGUGUAGCCUAUUCAAGUGUAUACUGGGACUGUAGCAAUAUCCCCAUGAAAAACUUCAAUUAAACAAAAUUACUCCUUCUUGAUUCUAGAAUAAGAGGACUGGUGCUGAACCGGUAGGGUUAAGGGCUGAUAUCUCAUAGCUUUAUGUAGUUACCAGAAAUGGUAGCUAGUUAUGUGGAACUGGAGCUUUACCUCGAAAGAGGAAUUUUUCAUUGGUCUAUGCAGUUCUUCUGCCCACUGCAUAUCAUGUGUGUUUUCAUCUGAAUUUAUACAAAAUCUGUCUAGAAGUGUUAAGUUUAAACUUUAUUUCUCACUGAGCCAGCUGGCCUCAUAGCAACUUCAAACUAGUCAACUUUAGUGUCAGAAUUCCCAUUUAAAACAAGACAAAAAGCUUCUCUAAGUUGAUAUAGCAACAUGUUUAGUUGGUUACAAUAUAAAAACUUAAUUUGUAGUUAUUUGACUUACACUGUCUUUGGAGGUUGUGGCAUACAUCGUUACUCCGCGAGUCAUGCUAAGUUCCCCCCAAGUAAGCAUACAGAAAAACAAAGAUACUACACCAUUCCAGUUUUACAGCUGAUAAAGUGUCACUGUAUGAAUUAAUACUUUCAUAUCUUUGCUUUUUGAAGAGAGAAGAAUAUUGUGGAGCACCGCAAAGUAUUAACAAAACAGUUUGUACACCAUCAGUGGCUUUGUUAGCAGCUCAUGGAUUACAGCAUCUUUUAAGAGGUCACCAGUUUUGGUGUUAUUCUAUAAGUCAGUGGCCGUGAUGCAAAUACCAUAGCAUAGGAAAAUAGGAGAAUUGUAGUGCCAAGUGUGCUGAUUAUUUUUUUCUUUUGGAAUUGCACAAACAGUUCUCUUAUGUUGUAUAGUUUAUGUUGGUUGCACUUACUGUAGUAAUUAACGUUUUAA